AUGCCUGAGUCGUUAGGCGAUGUAUUGUCUAUGUGAAGGGCUCUUUUAAAGCUGGUUUUUAAGCAAAAAGGCAUAUUGCUUAAGUAAAAGCAUUCUCACACAUCUCAAAUGACUAAGUUAAAGGAUAUCAUUGUUAAAGAGAAUGCCAGGUCCAGAAGGCAAGGAAUUACAACUGAACUUUGAUAUACCAAAGCUAGAAACUAUUAACACCAGAAAAAGUCAAUUAUCUCUUGAUGUGUUGCCUUCUAAUGUUUCCGUUGAUUCUCUGGCUUCUGUCAGGACUAUUGAYCUUCUGCCAGCGCUUGAUGUUGAUUCGGAUCAACUUUUUGACCUCGGUAGAACACCAUUAAAUCUCAGUGAAAUUGACAUGGUAAGUCAGUUUUUUUUUUUUAUCCUUUUACAUUAAGUCGUUAAAAACUAGUUAAAAAGUUCUAAAAAUAGUUAUCGAAUAGCUAUAAAAGUUUUCAUUCAAAAUUAGAGUUCAAAACCAUUCCUCUGGUUUUCUUUUUUCUUCAUUUUGUGCGUUUUCUCUUAAUCGGUUCUUUAUUACAUCUCGUUUAAAUUAUUCGUCAUAAUCCUCCGGCUUGUCGUCAUCAUUUCGUGGUGUUGGAUAACUUUCCUCUUCUUUCUCAAUUUUCCAGAAACCAUAGUUUGUUUGAGUUUUUGCUACUGGAUAGCAUGAUGCUAGAUAGGGUUGUGGGUAAAUAUUCACCACCAAUAUCAUAUCUUCUGCUCUUGUACUUGUGUAGUUAUAUUUGUUAAAACGUCUUCCAUAUCCUAAGAAAAUAUCGAACGACUUUCUUAUUAGGAGGGUGACUACCGUUGUUUUUCUUCUUCUAUCGAGCUGAACACCAACACAACCAUGAGGAUUGUUUCUUCCUUCUUGAAGGGUUUCUUUUGCCAGCUCCCAUAUCA
Molecule: long non-coding RNA, 915 nt
Organism: Exaiptasia diaphana
Lineage: Eukaryota; Metazoa; Cnidaria; Anthozoa; Actiniaria; Aiptasiidae
Exons: 3
Source: RefSeq, a predicted model, not a curated record